CGGGGUAAUCCCUGGGGCCGGGGGGGUGAUUUAUGGAGCAAUAAAACCACGCAGGAUUGUCUUCAUCACAGGUUUUGGGUUGAAUUUCUCAUUGGAAAAGCUCGUAUCCGUUAUCUUCCUAUCCCAGCUGAGCAGGAAAGCUUCUCGCAGCUUCCCAGGCCCUCCCUGGGGGGUUUUGCACCACUCUUGGGGCCACAUCCCCCCCCCAAACCUGACCCCGCUCACCUGCAUCCGCUGAGGGAUGGAGCCAGGUGUGGCCAGAGCUUAAUUGGUUUUAAAUGAACCUGGGGGAGCCCGAAAGGUGAAAGGAGGAAAAAAGGGGGGAAAAUUGGCUUGCUUUGGGAAGUGCUCGCUGUUGCUGAGAGGGGAGCAGGUCUGCGGUUUUGCUUUAAUUAGGGGUAAUAAAGCUGUGUUUUCCUUUCUCCUAAAUCCCAGUGAAGUGGGGUUGGACUGGUUUAAUCCACUGCUUGUCCAGGUCAGCCUGCUGCCAGCCAAAACAGCCAAAAACAGAGAGAGGAUGAGAGAGCAGAGCCGGGAGCCCCGGAGAUGCAGCAGGUUCUCAGAGCCAGGCAGGGGCUGAGGACAAGGCUUUCACUCCACACCCUGCCGUAGGAUGCUCCUUUGCUCCAGCUGCCGCCAGCCCAUGGGUUGAAAGAACCGCAGCGUGGGGUGGUUACAGCCUGGCCAAAACCCUCCCCGACAGCCCAGGACGGAGCCGGCUGCGAGCCCAGCAGUGGCUGCAAUGCGGGGAGCCCUGGCAGAGUUGCUGGUGGGAGUGGAGAAGGCUGAGCCAGGGCAGUUUGCAGCUCGCAGCGUGCCCCGGGGUGGGGUUGGGACCUCGUUUGGGUUGCUCACACGGACGCAGCACCCUGGGGAGCGGAGGAGCGGUGGGUGCUGAGCUCUGCUCUGCUCCGUGCACGCAGCCAGCGCCGUCCCCACGUGCUCCCCACGUGGCCGGAGCCAAACCCUGAGUCACGGCCACCCACGCUCCCUCCUGCCUGGGGACCCGCUUCAAUCAGCACCGGAUCAGCCUCGCGACCAGCUCUUUGCAGCCAAAACGCUGACUUUCCCGGGGCCGUGGCCAGGAAGGUUUGCGAGCCCUACCUCGAGAUCCUUGCUCGGGCAGAGCUUUUAGUGCUCAGCCUUGUGCAAACCUCCCUGUGCCCCGUUUUGCUCCCCACUUCAGCUGGCAGCACCAGCAGGUUCCAGCCUGGUCGCGGCGAGGACGCGAGUGUUAAAUUUUGGAGGUGCAGCUGGGAUUAAAGGAGGGCACGGGGUUGUGGAAAGCCCCCUCGGUGGUCAUCGCUGAAGCUCUCUCUGUGGCAAACAGCUUGAAAUGAAGGCUCGGAUCCACCGAAAUGCAACCUGCUGGGAGCUGGAUGCAGAGCAAGCAUCAGUGCCAAAAUUCGGGCAACUCGCUGUGCUUCAAGGAAAUUAAAAGGCACUCGCUCCGUUUUUUGCUUAUCCAACUGCUCGCAGCCUCAGCUGACCCGGUGCACUGAAGGAAUCAGCAUUUUCAGCAGGCUUGGGCUUUGAUUUGUUUCUGAUGGCUUCCUGUCCUGAUGCGAAGGAGAAGUUAUUUUGGGAACCUCAUGAAUGAAAACCGAGAGGUGACCGAAGCACCAGCAGGGCAGGCGGGGGCAGCCAGAUACAAUAUUUCUCCUACCCACAGAAGAGAUGCUCCGGAGGCUGUUUGCCUUUGAUUCCUUCUCCCCAGUGCAAUGAAGAGCAAUUAUCCUUCCCAUAAAAGCCUCCUUCUUUCAGGGGACUUGUAGUGACUUCAAAGAAGGGGCAGGUCUCUCUCGGGAACAAAGUCGUCGUUUCAGUGGGUUCCGGGGCUCUGAAGAAGAGCUCCGCGUCGUGCUGGCUGCCCGGACCUCUGCUCCUCUGCUCCUGCCCCAUCUCAGAGGGUUUUUUCAGGGCGAACAUCCCCCAGGGAAGGUGCUUUCCCUGCGGUAAUCCCACGCUGCAGGACCCCACCUCAGCCAGGCUGGGACCCCUUGCUUUGAGGUGCCCGCAGGGCUCGCUGCAUCCCCCAGUCCUCUGCUGUCAAAGGGGUUGGUGGAAAAAGCAAGAACUCAGCCGCUUCUCCAGCUCCCCUGUCCCAGCUAAGUAGUGCUUCCUUUUCCGAGGAAAAUGCAGUGUGCCUGGGGCUGAGCUUGGCCCGGGCUUGGUAUGUCGGAGUGAGCAGAGCUUGGUUGGAGCGAGGUUUUUUCUUCCCCAGCCCCUAUUCCGAGCCUCUGACUGUGUUAAGAAACCUUCCCCAAAAGCCAAGAAGCUCUGCAGUGACCAGCGGAUGCUUCUCAUCCCACUCUGGCACAGCCCCGGUCCUCCUUUUGGGGCCAGGCUCCUUGGGUGAGGGCCGAGCAGCAUUUUUGGGCUCAUUCCCUGCA
Anas platyrhynchos (mallard) is the source of this 2393-nucleotide long non-coding RNA. RefSeq lists it as uncharacterized. The record is from RefSeq and is a predicted model, not a curated record. Lineage: Eukaryota; Metazoa; Chordata; Aves; Anseriformes; Anatidae.